RNAcentral lists this ribosomal RNA (657 nucleotides) under bacterium LB-161. Its description in RNAcentral is "bacterial SSU rRNA". It matches the Rfam family "Bacterial small subunit ribosomal RNA", at positions 782 to 1439 of the family's 1533-position model. The record is from RNAcentral.
GUACCCUGGUAGUCCACGCUGUAAACGAUGUCGACUUGGAGGUUGUUCCCUUGAGGAGUGGCUUCCGGAGCUAACGCGUUAAGUCGACCGCCUGGGGAGUACGGCCGCAAGGUUAAAACUCAAAUGAAUUGACGGGGGCCCGCACAAGCGGUGGAGCAUGUGGUUUAAUUCGAUGCAACGCGAAGAACCUUACCUACUCUUGACAUCCAGAGAACUUAGCAGAGAUGCUUUGGUGCCUUCGGGAACUGUGAGACAGGUGCUGCAUGGCUGUCGUCAGCUCGUGUUGUGAAAUGUUGGGUUAAGUCCCGCAACGAGCGCAACCCUUAUCCUUUGUUGCCAGCGAUUCGGUCGGGAACUCAAAGGAGACUGCCAGUGAUAAACUGGAGGAAGGUGGGGAUGACGUCAAGUCAUCAUGGCCCUUACGAGUAGGGCUACACACGUGCUACAAUGGCAUAUACAAAGAGAAGCGACCUCGCGAGAGCAAGCGGACCUCAUAAAGUAUGUCGUAGUCCGGAUUGGAGUCUGCAACUCGACUCCAUGAAGUCGGAAUCGCUAGUAAUCGUGGAUCAGAAUGCCACGGUGAAUACGUUCCCGGGCCUUGUACACACCGCCCGUCACACCAUGGGAGUGGGUUGCAAAAGAAGUAGGUAGCUUAAC